AGCAGUGAGGAAUAUUGGUCAAUGGGCGCAAGCCUGAACCAGCCAUCCCGCGUGCAGGAUGACGGCCUAUGGGUUGUAAACUGCUUUUAUACACCAAGAACUUUCGGACGUGUCCGGAACUGACGGUAGUGUAUGAAUAAGCAUCGGCUAACUCCGUGCCAGCAGCCGCGGUAAUACGGAGGAUGCGAGCGUUAUCCGGAUUCAUUGGGUUUAAAGGGUGCGUAGGCGGCUUUUUAAGUCAGUGGUGAAAUCCUGCCGCUUAACGGUAGAAUUGCCAUUGAUACUGAAGAGCUUGAGUACAAUUGAGGUAAGCGGAAUGUGUAGUGUAGCGGUGAAAUGCUUAGAUAUUACACAGAACACCGAUUGCGAAGGCAGCUUACUAAACUGUCACUGACGCUGAUGCACGAAAGCGUGGGGAGCGAACAGGAUUAGAUACCCUGGUAGUCCACGCCGUAAACGAUGAUCACUCGCUGUAUGCGAUACAAGUAUGCGGCCAAGCGAAAGCAUUAAGUGAUCCACCUGGGGAGUACGAUCGCAAGGUUGAAACUCAAG
RNAcentral lists this ribosomal RNA (552 nucleotides) under Bacteroidetes bacterium enrichment culture clone B20. RNAcentral's name for it is "bacterial SSU rRNA". It matches the Rfam family "Bacterial small subunit ribosomal RNA", at positions 350 to 905 of the family's 1533-position model. Lineage: Bacteria; Pseudomonadati; Bacteroidota. The record is from RNAcentral. RNAcentral also lists the same sequence under 1 other name.